AGAGUUUGAUCCUGGCUCAGAAUGAACGCUGGCGGCAGGCCUAACACAUGCAAGUCGAACGAGGUAGCAAUACCUAGUGGCGGACGGGUGAGUAACACGUGGGAACGUACCCUUUGCUACGGAAUAGCCCUGGGAAACUGGGAGUAAUACCGUAUGAGCCCGAGAGGGGAAAGAUUUAUCGGCAAAGGAUCGGCCCGCGUUGGAUUAGGUAGUUGGUGGGGUAAUGGCCUACCAAGCCGACGAUCCAUAGCUGGUUUGAGAGGAUGAUCAGCCACACUGGGACUGAGACACGGCCCAGACUCCUACGGGAGGCAGCAGUGGGGAAUCUUAGACAAUGGGGAAACCCUGAUCUAGCCAUGCCGCGUGAUCGAUGAAGGCCUUAGGGUUGUAAAGAUCUUUCAGGUGGGAAGAUAAUGACUGUACCACCAGAAGAAGCCCCGGCUAACUCCGUG
This 452-nucleotide ribosomal RNA is filed under the name uncultured bacterium. RNAcentral describes it as "bacterial SSU rRNA". It matches the Rfam family "Bacterial small subunit ribosomal RNA", at positions 8 to 507 of the family's 1533-position model. The record is from RNAcentral.